UUUCCGUAGGUGAACCUGCGGAAGGAUCAUUAGUGAAUCAUGGAUGCCUCUGCAAAGAGAAGGUCCAUUAUACACUUUCACACACCCUGUGCACUUGUUUAUUUACAAAUUCACUUUUGUAACACACAUGUGACAAUGGAAAACAGUCCAGAAUGUACAUUUGAUAAACAAAAGUAUAACUUUCAGCAAUGGAUCUCUUGGCUCUCGCAUCGAUGAGACGCAGC
This 224-nucleotide unclassified non-coding RNA is filed under the name plant metagenome. Its description in RNAcentral is "partial contains small subunit ribosomal RNA, internal transcribed spacer 1, and 5.8S ribosomal RNA". The stretch from base 178 to 224 matches the Rfam family "5.8S ribosomal RNA", at positions 1 to 49 of the family's 154-position model. The record is from RNAcentral.